This 460-nucleotide ribosomal RNA is filed under the name uncultured bacterium. RNAcentral's name for it is "partial 16S ribosomal RNA". It matches the Rfam family "Bacterial small subunit ribosomal RNA", at positions 338 to 795 of the family's 1533-position model. The record is from RNAcentral.
CCUACGGGUGGCAGCAGUGAGGAAUAUUGGUCAAUGGACGAGAGUCUGAACCAGCCAAGUAGCGUGAAGGAUGACUGCCCUAUGGGUUGUAAACUUCUUUUAUAAAGGAAUAAAACGAGGCACGUGUGCCUUUUUGCAUGUACUUUAUGAAUAAGGAUCGGCUAACUCCGUGCCAGCAGCCGCGGUAAUACGGAGGAUCCGAGCGUUAUCCGGAUUUAUUGGGUUUAAAGGGAGCGUAGAUGGGUUGUUAAGUCAGUUGUGAAAUUUUGCGGCUCAACCGUAAAAUUGCAAUUGAUACUGGCAGUCUUGAGUACAGGUGAGGUAGGCGGAAUUCGUGGUGUAGCGGUGAAAUGCUUAGAUAUCACGAAGAACUCCGAUUGCGAAGGCAGCUUACUAAACUGCCACUGACAUUGAUGCUCGAAAGUGUGGGUAUCAAACAGGAUUAGAUACCCGAGUAGUC